Molecule: long non-coding RNA, 230 nt
Organism: Xiphophorus hellerii (green swordtail)
Lineage: Eukaryota; Metazoa; Chordata; Actinopteri; Cyprinodontiformes; Poeciliidae
Exons: 3
Source: RefSeq, a predicted model, not a curated record
UUCACAUUAUUUUUUAGGUAAAUAAAGAAGAUCUCAGCCCUUUGUCAUCAUCAUCAGAGGUGGAACAGCUGGAGGAUAUUGAAAAGGUUGUGCACCAAGUUCAAGAAGAUGAAAUUAUCUCCACAUAUUCAGUUAUGUUCUUUUUAAUUGGAUCUGUCUCACUUCCUGUUAUCAUCCUUCUCCUCUUUCACUCAUAUGUAGUUUACAUAGUGGCAGUUUUCAUCUCUGUC